UCCUGAGUGAUAACUCAGUUGGUAGAUAAUGAGACUCUUAAUCUCAAGGCUGUGGGUUCGAACCCCACACUGGGCG
Podarcis lilfordi (Lilford's wall lizard) is the source of this 76-nucleotide non-coding RNA. The record is from the annotation of a GenBank genome assembly. Lineage: Eukaryota; Metazoa; Chordata; Lepidosauria; Squamata; Lacertidae.